This 497-nucleotide ribosomal RNA is filed under the name uncultured bacterium. RNAcentral describes it as "partial 16S ribosomal RNA". It matches the Rfam family "Bacterial small subunit ribosomal RNA", at positions 28 to 507 of the family's 1533-position model. The record is from RNAcentral.
GAUGAACGCUGGCGGCGUGCCUAAUACAUGCAAGUCGAGCGAACGGACGAGAAGCUUGCUUCUCUGAUGUUAGCGGCGGACGGGUGAGUAACACGUGGAUAACCUACCUAUAAGACUGGGAUAACUUCGGGAAACCGGAGCUAAUACUGGAUAAUAUUUUGAACCGCAUGGUUCAAAAGUGAAAGACGGUCUUGCUGUCACUUAUAGAUGGAUCCGCGCUGCAUUAGCUAGUUGGUAAGGUAACGGCUUACCAAGGCAACGAUGCAUAGCCGACCUGAGAGGGUGAUCGGCCACACUGGAACUGAGACACGGUCCAGACUCCUACGGGAGGCAGCAGUAGGGAAUCUUCCGCAAUGGGCGAAAGCCUGACGGAGCAACGCCGCGUGAGUGAUGAAGGUCUUCGGAUCGUAAAACUCUGUUAUUAGGGAAGAACAUAUGUGUAAGUAACUGUGCACAUCUUGACGGUACCUAAUCAGAAAGCCACGGCUAACUACGUG